Molecule: unclassified non-coding RNA, 500 nt
Filed under: Hevea brasiliensis (rubber tree)
Lineage: Eukaryota; Viridiplantae; Streptophyta; Magnoliopsida; Malpighiales; Euphorbiaceae
Source: RNAcentral
UUGUAGUAAAGCAUUUUCUGCACAUAGAAAAUCAUAUAACACUGCGAAGCUCUCACUGUUGCUUCAUCAACCUCAGUAAUCCAUGCAUCAUCACAUUUGUACCACUGGUUUCUCAGGCGAAGAUAAGUCACGUAGUGUCCUGAUUCCAGCAUCCCUGAAUGAGUGAUCACAGCGAAAAUCUCAAAUUCUGGUGAUGUAUCUGCUUCAUUGCUUUCAAAGGUAAAAAUUCUAUUCCCAAAUUUGCUUCUCACAAUUGAGGAUGACAAAUAUGAUGUCAUAUCUAAGGAGAAUGGAAACUGCAAAUGCCAAUCAAUUUUUCUUGCCAUCCUUCUAACUACAGAGUGCUCAAAUCGUUUGAUAUGCAAAGACAACACCAAUGGCAGUCUGCUAAUUGACAUUUGCUUAAAUGAGUCCUGUUUUUCUUGACAAUUUUGGCAGUAAAGUUUCUGGUCUGAUCCCAACUUCUCUGGCCUUGAAAACAAAUCCAAACAGGCCGAAAG